GAACUUAAGCAUAUCAAUAAGCGGAGGAAAAGAAACUAACAAGGAUUCCCUUAGUAGCGGCGAGCGAAGCGGGAUGAGCUCAAAUUUGAAAGCUGGCGUCCUUCGGGCGUCCGCAUUGUAAUCUAUAGAGGCGUUUUCUGUGCUGGACCGUGUCCAAGUCCCUUGGAACAGGGUAUCAAAGAGGGUGACAAUCCCGUACUUGACACGACAACCAGUGCUCUGUGAUACGUCUUCUACGAGUCGAGUUGUUUGGGAAUGCAGCUCAAAAUGGGUGGUGAAUUCCAUCUAAAGCUAAAUAUUGGCGAGAGACCGAUAGCGAACAAGUACCGUGAGGGAAAGAUGAAAAGUACUUUGGAAAGAGAGUUAAACAGUAUGUGAAAUUGUUGAAAGGGAAACGAUGGAGGUCAGUCGUGUCUGUGGGAUUCAGCCGUCUCUGGCGGUGUACUUCCCACAGACGGGUCAACAUCAGUUUUGGUCGGCGGAUAAAGGCAGGAGGAAGGUGGCACCCCCGGGUGUGUUAUAGCCUCUUGUUGCAUACGCUGGCCGAGACUGAGGAAUGCAGCUCGCCUUUGUGGCCGGGGUUCGCCCACGUUCGAGCUUAGGAUGUUGACAUAAUGGCCUUCAACGACCCGUCUUGAAACACGGACCAAGGAGUCUAACAUAUCUGCGAGUGUUUGGGUGUCAAACCCAAGCGCGCAAUGAAAGUGAAUGCAGGAGGGAUCCGCAAGGAGCACCUUCGACCGAUCUGGAUCUUCUGUGAUGGAUUUGAGUAAGAGCAUAUAUGCUGGGACCCGAAA
Molecule: ribosomal RNA, 797 nt
Filed under: uncultured fungus
Lineage: Eukaryota; Fungi
Description: eukaryotic LSU rRNA
Rfam family: Eukaryotic large subunit ribosomal RNA
Source: RNAcentral